UCAGGACGAACGCUGGCGGCGUGCUUAACACAUGCAAGUCGAGCGAUGAAGCACCUUCGGGUGUGAAUUAGCGGCGAACGGGUGAGGAACACGUGAGAAAUCUGCCUUCAACACUGGGAUAACUCCGGGAAACCGGGGCUAAUACCGGAUAUGAAACCUGCGGGCAUCCGCGGGUUUGGAAAGUUUUUCGGUUGAAGAUGAUCUCGCGGCCUAUCAGCUUGUUGGUGAGGUAAUGGCUCACCAAGGCGACGACGGGUAGCCGGCCUGAGAGGGCGACCGGCCACACUGGGACUGAGACACGGCCCAGACUCCUACGGGAGGCAGCAGUGGGGAAUAUUGGGCAAUGGAGGAAACUCUGACCCAGCGACGCCGCGUGCGGGAUGAAGGCCUUCGGGUUGUAAACCGCUUUCAGCAGGGAAGAAGCGAAAGUGACGGUACCUGCAGAAGAAGCACCGGCUAACUAUGUGCCAGCAGCCGCGGUAAUACAUAGGGUGCAAGCGUUGUCCGGAAUUAUUGGGCGUAAAGAGCUCGUAGGUGGUUCGUCACGUCGGAUGUGAAACUCUGGGGCUUAACCCCAGACCUGCAUUCGAUACGGGCGAGCUUGAGUAUGGUAGGGGAGUCUGGAAUUCCUGGUGUAGCGGUGGAAUGCGCAGAUAUCAGGAGGAACACCAAUGGCGAAGGCAGGACUCUGGGCCAUUACUGACACUGAGGAGCGAAAGCGUGGGGAGCGAACAGGAUUAGAUACCCUGGUAGUCCACGCCGUAAACGGUGGGCACUAGUUGUGGGGACCUUCCACGGUCUCUGCGACGCAGCUAACGCAUUAAGUGCCCCGCCUGGGGAGUACGAUCGCAAGAUUAAAAC
This 861-nucleotide ribosomal RNA is filed under the name uncultured Actinomycetes bacterium. RNAcentral's name for it is "bacterial SSU rRNA". It matches the Rfam family "Bacterial small subunit ribosomal RNA", at positions 24 to 900 of the family's 1533-position model. Lineage: Bacteria; Bacillati; Actinomycetota; Actinomycetes. The record is from RNAcentral.